GUCUAUGGCUAUGCUACCCUGAACAAUCCUGUCUGAUCUCAGAAGCUAAACAGGGUUGGGCCUGGUUAGUACGUGGAUGGGAGAUGACCUAGGAAGACCAGGUGCUGUAGGCA
RNAcentral lists this ribosomal RNA (113 nucleotides) under Pteropus alecto (black flying fox). The record is from RNAcentral. Lineage: Eukaryota; Metazoa; Chordata; Mammalia; Chiroptera; Pteropodidae.